Long non-coding RNA from Strigops habroptila (Kakapo), 2418 nucleotides. RefSeq lists it as uncharacterized. The transcript is spliced from 5 exons. The record is from RefSeq and is a predicted model, not a curated record. NCBI's taxonomy places the organism in Eukaryota, Metazoa, Chordata, Aves, Psittaciformes, Psittacidae.
AGAAGAUUUAAGUUUCAUGCUAAGCUGACACAUGAACACCAUUAUUUACAACAAUAUUAAACAGAAACUCUCUGUAAUGCCUUUCAAAGAUAUGGUAUAUAAUUUAACAACAGAAUAAGCAUCUGGAACUAGGAAGUUUAUUAGUACACAUAAAACUGUUGGUUGUCUGCUAAGGCUGUUGUUAAUGUAUGUAAAGCAUAACAAAAGGAGCCCUACUGAAAACAUAAAACCAGACUCUUCAGCAAGCACCAAGAAAUAACUUAUAGUAACCUGUAUCAGCAAAUGUUGCAUUUUCAAAAUGGCAAAUAUUGUUCUUCUACAUCUAGUAAACAAUUAUUGAAUUUUGUACUCACAAAAUCUGUUUUGUCUUUCAGUCUCUGCCUGGAAAGAUUGGUUUUGGGUUUUUUUUCCUUCUUUCUUAAUGAAAACAGAAGGGAGAAAGAAUCAAGACUAUGCUUUUCUAAUGCAGAGCUGCAGUCUUACACUUACUGGCGGUGCUACUUGGAAUCAAUAGAAAAUUUGUGGAACAAGGAGAUCAAGAUCAAUCCCUACCAGAGAAGCUUUGCAGAGCAGAAGCAGCAACAUUCCCAGAGGCCGAUGCCCUUAUUCCAGAGUUCAGCACCAGCAAUGUGAGCGAAAUAAAAGCCUUCAGUGAAUUCUCUGCUAAGAUGUUUCUCAGCUCUUGGCAAACCUUAUGGCAAAAGCAAAGAAGUUUUUAACAAGGAAAUGCAAGGCUUAAGAGCACAGCUAUUGUCUCUGAAGAUAAAGGCUGACAAAUGAAGCAGUGAAACGUCUAGUUAUCUUCCACUUGACCUUAAGCUCUACGAUUCUGUCUUCACUCCUCAAACUGGCUGGAUUGCACAGCUGAGCCUUUGAGUCAGAUCACCAAACUAUCAGAAAACUAACCCAGCAGUAGAAGCGAACCACUUCCAUGUGACAUUGGGCUUUCUUUGACCAUUUACUCUCCAUUCCUAUUACUGAAAAGGAGUACUCCAACUGCUCAGAACAGAGAGCUGGAACUUGUGGGACAACAGGGCAUGAACGGGACUGCGGAUGGUGCUUCCAGGCAAGAAGCACCUACAGCAACUAGCUUUGGUGUUUCUGCAUUCCUCAGAAAUAUUAAGUAUUUACUUCAUCCUGGAGGCAAGAAGUGCAACAGGAAGAUAAAUACUUCGAUCUGGUAUUUUUACUUUUGAUGUGGGAUGUGACUGGUAUUGAACAGACCAUCACAGCAGAAAAGAAGAGCUUAGUACAUGAAAUGGGUGGAAAGUUCUGAACGCUACCAUAUGCACUCCUUUUAAACCUCAGGCAAAUCACCAGAGACUGAUUUUCCUGCUAGGAAUUAGCCACAAAUCAUUCAGACAUGAAGAGUAAUUUGAAUGUAAUUUUCCCUUGAUUGCUGGCAUUCCAAACAUUUUUUUUAAUGUUUUUUUCCAGUGGUUCAAAAUGAGGAUAUUUGCAUUUUCUAUUUUAUUUGUUUUUAAAUAAAACCUAUUUGUUAAGUAUAACUGCAUUUAGAAAAUUCAAACUUCAGAAAAAGCCAGAUUUAAGAUUGCCUUUGCCCAAUUUCAGUUAUCUACAUACAGAUUUUCAUAGGCUAUUGCUUUAUUUUUUUCACAGCCCAACUUUUCUUAGUCUCAGUUGAAGCUGUGACUAUGCUGCACCUUUGCAAAUGAAAACUUUGCUGUGACAAGAUAAGCACUCAGAAAAUGAGGAACAUCUUUCCUCUCAAAAGCCUCGUUUAAGUGACUUGCUUUGAAUCACAAGGUAAUCUUGUGACAGAUGAUGAUAUAAAAUACAUUUUCUAAGUUGGCAUUACAUUCCCUUAACUGUAGGAAUAAAGCCCAUUGAAAAACAGAUUGCUGUUUCAGUCUUGGUAUAAAACUGAAAUUAUAAACUUGCAUGACAAAUUGCCGAGCAGCUCAGAACAAAAGAUUUCAACUACAUCAGAAGGAAAAAGUACUCUCUGAAUUUAUCAUCCAAGUCUUCCAUAAAGUUAAUGACCUUACAAGAAAUAUUUUUUGCCAAAUAAACAACUUUCACGCAAAGCAGUUCUACCCAAUAAUUGUAUCUAGUUUGGCCUUUUAGCUCUCUCGAGUCCCACAUUUAUUAAUUUUAUAGCUUCAAAUAUUUGAAAAAGUAAGAUGAAAGCUUGAAGAUAAUAUGACUAAGUAGACACCCACAAGUAUUUUCUGGGCAUUGGCCAUCUUGUUCACUAUCUGAACAUAAAAAUGCAGGUUAGGAUCAUGUAAUUAAAGAGCUUAUUGUAAUGCCCAUAGAAAAGAAAGACAAGUUAUGAUUAAACAGAGAGCUUUAGUCAUGGUAUUUCCCAAUUUUGAGUUGUGUUUUUUGAACAUUAAUAUAUUAAUGUAGUUUUUGUUUCCUGUGAAAAAGUAAAAUAAAAAUCUGUUUAAAGCU